This 85-nucleotide non-coding RNA is filed under the name Octactis speculum. The record is from RNAcentral. Lineage: Eukaryota; Dictyochophyceae; Dictyochales; Dictyochaceae.
GCCAAAGCCCAGUAAAAAGAAAAAACAAAAGAAGACAAAGACUGCCGAAUCGUUGUCCGAGCUUACGUUUUUAUCUGGCGUGAAG